This 483-nucleotide ribosomal RNA is filed under the name uncultured bacterium. RNAcentral's name for it is "partial 16S ribosomal RNA". It matches the Rfam family "Bacterial small subunit ribosomal RNA", at positions 28 to 507 of the family's 1533-position model. The record is from RNAcentral.
GACGAACGCUGGCGGCGUGCUUAACACAUGCCAGUCGAACGCUGAAGCUCAGCUUUUGUUGGGUGGAUGAGUGGCGAACGGGUGAGUAACACGUGAGUAACCUGCCCCCUUCUUUGGGAUAACGCCCGGAAACGGGUGCUAAUACUGGAUAUUCACUGGUCUUCGCAUGGGGGUUGGUGGAAAGGGUUUUUCUGGUGGGGGAUGGGCUCGCGGCCUAUCAGCUUGUUGGUGGGGUGAUGGCCUACCAAGGCUUUGACGGGUAGCCGGCCUGAGAGGGUGACCGGUCACAUUGGGACUGAGAUACGGCCCAGACUCCUACGGGAGGCAGCAGUGGGGAAUAUUGCACAAUGGGCGCAAGCCUGAUGCAGCGACGCCGCGUGAGGGAUGGAGGCCUUCGGGUUGUGAACCUCUUUCGCUCAUGGUCAAGCCGCAACAAUGGUUGUGGUGAGGGUAGUGGGUAAAGAAGCGCCGGCAAACUACGUG